GAUGAACGCUGGCGGCGUGCUUAACACAUGCAAGUCGAACGGAAAGGCUCCUGCUUGCAGGGGUACUCGAGUGGCGAACGGGUGAGUAACACGUGGGUGAUCUGCCCUGCACUUCGGGAUAAGCCUGGGAAACUGGGUCUAAUACCGGAUAGGACGAUGGUUUGGAUGCCAUUGUGGAAAGUUUUUUCGGUGUGGGAUGAGCUCGCGGCCUAUCAGCUUGUUGGUGGGGUAAUGGCCUACCAAGGCGUCGACGGGUAGCCGGCCUGAGAGGGUGGACGGCCACAUUGGGACUGAGAUACGGCCCAGACUCCUACGGGAGGCAGCAGUGGGGAAUAUUGCCCAAUGGGCGCAAGCCUGAUGCAGCGACGCCGCGUGGGGGAUGACGGCCUUCGGGUUGUAAACUCCUUUCGCUAGGGACGAAGCGCAAGUGACGGUACCUGGAGAAGAAGCACCGGCUAACUACGUG
RNAcentral lists this ribosomal RNA (466 nucleotides) under uncultured bacterium. RNAcentral describes it as "partial 16S ribosomal RNA". It matches the Rfam family "Bacterial small subunit ribosomal RNA", at positions 28 to 507 of the family's 1533-position model. The record is from RNAcentral.